CAGAAACACACACACACACCAUGACAGACAGACACACCAUGACAGAGACACACACAUACCAUGACAGACACACACCUUGACACACACACCCCAUAACACAGACAGACUGUGACACAGACACACACACACACACCAUGACACAGACACACAUUACAUGACACACACCCACAUACACCACGAUACAGAGAGAUCGUGACACAGACACACAUAUUACAUGACACACACACCAUGACACAGACAGACACACAUUGCAUGACACAGACGCACACUAUGACAGAGACACACACCAUGACACAGACAGACACAAUGACACAGACAGAGACACACACACACCAUGACAGACAGAGACACACACAUAAUUUCUACCUGUGUGCUGACAUAGGGAGCUCUUCUGGCGGCCGCAUGGUG
Pelobates cultripes (western spadefoot toad) is the source of this 408-nucleotide non-coding RNA. The record is from the annotation of a GenBank genome assembly. NCBI's taxonomy places the organism in Eukaryota, Metazoa, Chordata, Amphibia, Anura, Pelobatidae.